GAUGAACGCUGGCGGCGUGCCUAAUACAUGCGAGUCGAGCGAACGGACGAGAAGCUUGCUUCUCUGAUGUUAGCGGCGGACGGGUGAGUAACACGUGGAUAACCUACCUAUAAGACUGGGAUAACUUCGGGAAACCGUAGCUAAUACCGGAUAAUAUUUUGAACCGCAUGGUUCAAAAGUGAAAGACGGUCUUGCUGUCACUUAUAGAUGGAUCCGCGCUGCAUUAGCUAGUUGGUAAGGUAACGGCUUACCAAGGCAACGAUGCAUAGCCGACCUGAGAGGGUGAUCGGCCACACUGGAACUGAGACACGGUCCAGACUCCUACGGGAGGCAGCAGUAGGGAAUCUUCCGCAAUGGGCGAAAGCCUGACGGAGCAACGCCGCGUGAGUGAUGAAGGCCUUCGGAUCGUAAAACUCUGUUAUUAGGGAAGAACAUAUGUGUAAGUAACUGUGCACAUCUUGACGGUACCUAAUCAGAAAGCCACGGCUAACUACGUG
Molecule: ribosomal RNA, 497 nt
Filed under: uncultured bacterium
Lineage: Bacteria
Description: partial 16S ribosomal RNA
Rfam family: Bacterial small subunit ribosomal RNA
Source: RNAcentral